GACGAACGCUGGCGGCGUGCUUAACACAUGCAAGUCGAACGAUGAAGCUGGAGCUUGCUCCGGUGGAUUAGUGGCGAACGGGUGAGUAACACGUGAGCAAUCUGCCCUUGACUCUGGGAUAACUGCGGGAAACUGUAGCUAAUACCGGAUAUGAGGCUUGGAGGCAUCUCCAGGUCUGGAAAGAAUUUCGGUCAAGGAUGAGCUCGCGGCCUAUCAGCUAGUUGGUGAGGUAAUGGCUCACCAAGGCGACGACGGGUAGCCGGCCUGAGAGGGUGACCGGCCACACUGGGACUGAGACACGGCCCAGACUCCUACGGGAGGCAGCAGUGGGGAAUAUUGCACAAUGGGCGAAAGCCUGAUGCAGCAACGCCGCGUGAGGGAUGAAGGCCUUCGGGUUGUAAACCUCUUUUAGCAGGGAAGAAGCGAAAGUGACGGUACCUGCAGAAAAAGCACCGGCUAACUACGUGCCAGCCGCCGCGGUAA
Molecule: ribosomal RNA, 483 nt
Filed under: uncultured bacterium
Lineage: Bacteria
Description: partial 16S ribosomal RNA
Rfam family: Bacterial small subunit ribosomal RNA
Source: RNAcentral